This 89-nucleotide transfer RNA is filed under the name Microbacterium oxydans. RNAcentral's name for it is "tRNA-Arg". The record is from RNAcentral. Lineage: Bacteria; Bacillati; Actinomycetota; Actinomycetes; Micrococcales; Microbacteriaceae.
GGCGACCGUGGCGUACGCGUUCGCCAUCGCGAGCGGCGAGAUGUUCUUCGAACCGAGGAUGUCGAACGGUGCGACCUUGUCGGUCGUCU